CGGGCUGCGCGGACUGCCCAGCCUCGGAGGGGAGGGAAGACCGGUGGCCCGGCGCCUCCACGCGUCACGGGGAAAACGUGAGCCGGCAUCCGCUUCUGCUUGUCCACUCUGUGCUGUGCAGUCCGCCUCUGUCCUUCUGUCUGUCUGCCGGUCCAUGCAUCUGUUGAUGGACACGUGCCCCUGUCACUGUCCUCUGUGAGAUUUCUCUGAGAUCCUGUGAUCCUUUGCAAGCGUCAGGUGCCAGGGUCGCCUGUGUCCCCGAGCGCCCCAGCCGGAGGCAGGUCCCUGCUUUCUAUAGAGUCUCCCCUCCCCCUUCUGAAUGGCUGGGGGGACUGCGUCCUGGGCAGCGUCCUCCGAGGGACUGCUCCCGGGGUCAGGCUGUGGAGUCCAGCGGGCAGGGAGCCGCUCACACUGUGUACCAGUGGGCGUGCACCUGGCAACAGGUCUGCGCCCUGCUGCUUGGUCUCAGCACGGUAUCCUCUCUGCUCCCCGCUCCGCCUCUUGAUGCUGGCGCGCUCCCGGACAGUGCUGGGCACCCAGCGUGGUGCUGGCACGAGACCGGUCGAGGCAAUUGAACGUUAGGUGACAUGAGGGCCCCUGCGGAGGUUUACACUGAGAUUCCAAACCCGGCACCACUGGAAGAGGAUUCGGUGGUCCCUGGCGAGGGACGUCGGCCCCAAGAAGGGUCAAAUUAGUCUGGGAGGAAAGGCAGGGAUCUGGCCAGGUCUCCAGCUCGCUGCUCUGGGAAUGAGGGCCAGAGACACUCUGGAUCGGACCCGGCAGGACGCAUGUGCUGUUGAGAAAGGAGCUCAGUGCGCCGAGGUCCUCAACCGCAGACUCGCUCUCAGCGCCCUCAGCGACCGCCGCCGUUCCCCAAGGGUCCAGCACUAUGGCCGUCGCAGGCACGGCGCCAGCAGCCGGGUUUGAGGUCCUGACUCCUGCUCCGUGCAGCCAAGGCUGCCCACAGGGACUCCAUCUCCGGUUUAUUUUCACGAAAGACCUUGAUGGAACCGAUAAAAAGAGCUGAAGUUGAUCAAAAUGCCAAAAUGAAAUCUAAUUCAUAGAUAAAUGGAAGAAUUUUUGUGUGAGAUGAAUCAGUCGCCUGUUUUUCCUACCCGCACCACUUGGAGGCACGAUAAAAAGAUCAGAAGUAAUCUUAGCUCCCUCCAUCUGAAAGGAGUGAAGCCACAGGAUGCAGUCCACAGGUGCUGGGAAUCUCUGCAACUUAUCUACCCAGCGAUGUGA
This is a long non-coding RNA of Hipposideros armiger (great roundleaf bat), 1245 nucleotides long. RefSeq lists it as uncharacterized. The record is from RefSeq and is a predicted model, not a curated record. NCBI's taxonomy places the organism in Eukaryota, Metazoa, Chordata, Mammalia, Chiroptera, Hipposideridae. The transcript is spliced from 3 exons.